Molecule: RNA transcript, 5221 nt
Organism: Malaclemys terrapin pileata
Lineage: Eukaryota; Metazoa; Chordata; Testudines; Emydidae
Gene: BAIAP2
Gene name: BAR/IMD domain containing adaptor protein 2
Exons: 16
Source: RefSeq, a predicted model, not a curated record
CCGGCUGCCGGCCCCGCUGCCCCGUCUCGCUCCGCCCCCCCGCCGGCAUGGCGCGCUCCGAGGAGGUGCAUCGCCUCACCGAGACCGUCUACAAGACGAUCAUGGAACAGUUCAAUCCCAGCCUCAGGAACUUCAUUUCCAUGGGGAAGAACUAUGAAAAAGCCUUGGCAAGCGUAACGUAUGCUGCAAAAGGAUAUUUUGAUGCUCUGGUUAAAAUGGGGGAGUUGGCCAGUGAAAGCCAAGGAUCUAAAGAACUGGGGGAUGUUCUCUUCCAGAUGGCAGAAGUUCACAGGCAGAUUCAAAAUCAGUUGGAAGAGAUGCUGAAGUCUUUUCACAACGAGCUACUGACGCAACUGGAGCAGAAAGUAGAACUGGAUUCCAGGUAUCUAAGUGCUGCGUUGAAGAAAUACCAGACUGAGCAAAGGAGCAAAGGGGACGCGCUAGAGAAGUGCCAGGCAGAGCUGAAAAAACUUCGGAAGAAGAGCCAAGGGAGCAAAAACCCUCAGAAGUACUCGGACAAGGAGCUGCAGUACAUCGAUGCGAUCAGCAACAAACAAGGUGAGCUAGAAAACCACGUCUCUGAUGGCUAUAAGACAGCGCUCACAGAGGAGAGGAGACGGUUCUGCUUCCUGGUAGAGAAGCAGUGUGCUGUGGCUAAGAACACCAUCUCCUACCACGCCAAGGGGAAAGAGAUCUUGACACAGAAGCUCCCGAUUUGGCAGCAAUCUUGCUCGGACCCCAACAAGAUCCCAGACCGGGCUAUCCAACUGAUGCAGCAGAUGGCCGCCAGCAGCAAUGGCACAAUCAUCCCCAGCUCCCUGUCUACGUCCAAAUCGAACCUAAUCAUCUCAGACCCUAUCCCCGGGGCCAAACCGCUCCCUGUCCCACCAGAGUUGGCGCCCUUCGUGGGGCGCAUGUCAGCACAAGAGACCAUUCCCGUGAUGAAUGGCGUCUCGGGCCCUGAGGUCGAGGACUACAGCCGUUGGUCCGAGAUGAAGCCAGCCCAGCCAAAAUCCCUAUCUCCUCCCCAGCAUCAGAAGCAACUGAGUGACUCGUACUCCAACACACUUCCUGUGCGCAAGAGUGUCGCACCGAAAAACAGUUACGCAACCACUGAAAACAAGACCUUGCCACGCUCCAGUUCCAUGGCUGCCGGGCUUGAGAGGAACGGCAGGACGAGAGUACAGGCCAUUUUCUCUCAUGCUGCUGGUGAUAACACCACCCUCCUGAGCUUCAAGGAAGGAGACCUCAUCACGCUCCUGGUGCCGGAGGCCCGAGAUGGAUGGCACUACGGGGAGAGUGAGAAAACAAAAAUGAGAGGCUGGUUCCCUUUCUCUUACACGCGGGUUCUUGACAGCGAUGGAAGCGACAGGUUGCAUAUGAGCUUGCAACAAGGGAAAAGCAGCAGCACAGGCAACCUGCUGGAUAAGGAUGACAUCGCCAUCCCGCCGCCAGACUACGGCGUGUCCUCAUCACGGGUCUUCCCACCACAACCUGUCAGCACUUUCAAACAGAGACCAUACAGCGUGGCAGUGCCUGCCUUCUCCCAGGGCCUUGAGGACUAUGGGACAAGAGCUGGAAGCAGCCCCGAUGUUGAAGUGGCCAGGUUUUGAUGUCCCUGACUAGUUACCUGACUGUCAAACAAGAAUAGGAUCUCUGGUCAAGACCCUCAGCAGCGUAUACGGGAAUCCUUUUGCCAACAUCCAGCUGAAACCAACAGUGACCAACGACAGGUCAGCUCCCUUCAUCAGCUGAUCCCUGGGAUUGCUGGAGCCAGCAACCACCUCCCGCCUGCACUGCUGUAUCUGACCCACUGUAGCCGCCUUGUCUGCAAGUCUGUCUUCCCAGACCUUUAUGUUUAGGCUGCGUUUGUUUAAACCUGCUACUGCUGUUUGGAAGCCAAGGUCUAAAGCCCGUGUAUCCAGCGCAGUGAUGGAGGGUGAGGGGGUUAAACUCUGUUACCGUUCGUUCACUCUGGUCAGGGCAGGUGCGGCAGUACAACUGCAGUCACAGCCCUGGGUUCCCAGCCUGUACCUUCCAGCCCCGUUCAGCUCUCCCAGGGCAGACAGAUCAGCAGUAGCUGGGGGACCGUGCUGACCCCACAGCAUGCUGCUGUUUUAAGAGUGGGAAAGCAGCAGCACUCAGUGUACCCCCGGCCGCUCGCUCCUGUCUCCUACACCGAGCAAGAUCAAGGCCAGGGAGGUGGAACCCUCACCCCAGCCCUCGAAAAGGAUGUCAGCAGGGCAGCUGGGACCGAGGCUCCCAGCCUGGGCCCACAGACGCAUGCUAGUGCACUACCCAGCGUGGUGUGGAUGGGGUGGGCCAGGCCUACCCCGCUUGUGCUAGCAGGAGCCCUAUUAGCCCCCCUCUGUGGAGCUGGGCUGACUUGCAGAACCCCCUCUGCUGCUGUUUAGAGCUGCCGAGGGCAGCGGGUGGCCAAGCCUUGGCCCCUUCCCUUCUUCGGGCCUGCAGCAAUUCUUGGCCAGUGGAACAGCAGAGCUGUGCAAAGCGCCUCUGUUCUCCCCCAAACUGCUGCUCAGGGCUGGCUAGCCCGGCUCGUGCAGACAACUAGCGUAAGGGCCAGCUGCUCCCAGGCAGGCCUGCUCCACGUCAGUUAAACAGUUGCUAAUGUUUUUACAGCGCACCCCCCUGGGGCAGCGUCUAUAUUUUAUUUAGCUCAGUGAGGUAUUAUUCAAGCUAGAACAAUAGGCUCUUAGAUGCAACACCCCCUGUGCGGCGGCAACUGGUAAUACUCACCCUCUUACCUGUAAUCGUCUGUAGUGAAACCCCAGGGAAGAGGAAACAGAGGUGUAGGAGGGUGCACCAUGCCCCACUACCACUGUCCAAAAACCUGGCUCUUGCCAGAGACCUGCAAGACCCAAGCUGCAGGCAGCUUUCUGUGCUGAAGGGGGGAGGGUCUGUGACUUGAAAGGGUCUGUGCUGGAAACGUUCCAAGUCCCUGAGCCCCCUCCCAUGCUCGUAGCCACUUCCCCGUGUGUCACUAGUGUCUGCCUCGCAGGCCCCUGCGAGAUGAAGCCUUACAGCUCCCUGAGUGACUGGUUGAGAACUUGGGAUGGGAACCAGGCCCUGGAAGCUCUGGUCAGCAGCCGCCCCCACCCCAGGCUGCUGGCGCGAGUGCUCGGUGUACGAGCCGGUGUCAGGCUCUUUAGUGAGAAACCUCCCCCGUGUUUGUUACAAAGAUCUCUGGUACCCCUUCUCUGCCCUACUCUCCCUGUGAGGCCAUCUCAACUCCACCCCACCUGCCCCAGAGCUUGCACCAAGGCGACUGCAGGCCUUGUGUCCUUACUCAAGCAUGAGGGAAGAGAGAGGGGAAAACAAGCGCCACACCCUGUGAGAGCAGGCCCUGCAGCCGGGCUGGGUCCUUCCCUGCCUUGCUCCAGCAUGGGCUAGAUCAGAACUCAGACGGUGCCCGGGGAAGGGGUGGCCGUCUUCAUGGUUUGUCUGUUUGCACUUUUUUUUAAGGCUAGAUCGCAGAGCACUAGAGCUGCCUGGGUUACUGCAUUCUAGGGUUAGCUCCUAAUAAGCUUAUGCCGAGUAGCAAACGGAACCAAAUGCAGAGUCCAGUGUUUGUAUUUUUAUAUAAAGGAAAGUAGAUUUGACCCCUCUAAUCAGUGGCUGCUUGCUGCAGCUGCUCUGUGCUGUCAUGGCACCCCCAGCCCGGGCAGGGGCAGCUCCUGAGCCACGCAGUAGGCACCACGCGGCAGGUACCUCAGGGGCUGCCUUGUGAAGCUGGAGGGCCCUGCCCCCUGGGGUUAAAUCUGUCCAACGGUGUUGUCUCAAACUCUAAUCUGCUCUUCCUGCGCCCUGCAACUUCCCCUGCUUUUCAGCAGUCAGUGAGGGCUCGGGCGGGCUCCUCUCGCUGAGGUGACGCAAGUCCAUAACUCCCUGGUGCCCGAGGGCUGCCGUUAAACCGGCCUAACCCCUCCUGGAGGUGGCGCUAGGGAGCAGCCUCAGCGAAGCGCUACAGCUGCCCCCCUGCGGCAGUUCGAGUGUAGACAAGCCCUGAGUCUGUGCUGCUCUGAACUAGGCCCCCGUGCAGUGCCAAGCGCUAACGAACCACCCUGGAGACUACAAGGGUCAGCACAAGUGAACCGCCCCUGUUUUCUGCUGUACUAGUUCUCUCUGGGCCUGGUCCCUGAGCUCAGCCCUUGCUCACGUGGGCAUUUUCCUGCUCCGUGAGUGAAGUUCUGCCGGGCUGCAGCCCUGCUGAUGCAGUAAUUGGUUCAGGUGGAGGCAGGGCCAGCUAAAGGCAUAAGAAAUAUUAGCCCAGGUUUAGGGCUGUAUCUGCUGGAGUCCUAGGAUGAGCCCAGCGUCUGACUGCAAAGAGGUUUUCUUGUCUGUGAGCGCUGAAAAUGUAAACGACUGGUGCUGCUGCUUGCCUGAGUGUGCAGCCAGCCUGAAACAAUAGCUGCCCACGAUGUGAACUGCCCACUCAACUCUGACACCCCCUGGGGACAGCCAAAGAGGCCCCAGCUGUGGUGUGCCUGAGGCCCCAUAUUGCCUUAAUUCCUCCCUGUGUGGACCAAAGACAGAACGGCUGCGCAAAUGGGUCCUGAGUGAACUCAAACCUGGCCUCCCACAAAUCAUGGGACCAAAGAGAGGCGAAGGAGCUUGGCGAGGCUGCGGGGCUCCUCUGGGACCAGCUCCAGCCUAAGGUCUCUGGGCGUGGGUCUCUUGUCCUGGAGCUUUCCAUACGGUGCCCACCAUCACGCUGUGCCUUCCUGUGGUGUGUACAACAGCUGGCACUACAGUCACUGGCCCACAGCUCUGGGAAGGAGGGAGCCUAGCAGAACAGUGAUGUCGUCACCAUAGCUACUGCCUUGGGUGGAAGGCUAGGGAGAGAGCAGGCCUGGCCCCUGCUCCCCUCCCACUGGUGCACUGGAUCCCGUGCACAUGGGUGAACCCACAUGCCAGGGAGGCCUGAGGGCUGUUCCCCAUGGUUGUACAUCACUGCACUGCCUGGCCUACUCCCAGCACUGUUCAAACCCUCCCAGAAAGGCUGCCUUGCCUAGAGGAGCCUGCUUAGCCGGAGCGCUUUCAAUGUGGGCAGCCAAGCUUCACUUCCCCCCCAGCAUGGCCCGGUAAGGUGCUGUGCCGCUGCUUCCCUGCGCUUUCUAGUCAGGCUGGCGGAUGCACCAUGUACCCUGAAAUGACUCUUUUUGGAACAGUAAUUUAUGAGCAAUAAAACCCACAAAUCCUU